This 467-nucleotide ribosomal RNA is filed under the name uncultured bacterium. RNAcentral's name for it is "partial 16S ribosomal RNA". It matches the Rfam family "Bacterial small subunit ribosomal RNA", at positions 28 to 507 of the family's 1533-position model. The record is from RNAcentral.
GAUGAACGCUGGCGGCGUGCUUAACACAUGCAAGUCGAACGGAAAGGCCCAAGCUUGCUUGGGUACUCGAGUGGCGAACGGGUGAGUAACACGUGGGUGAUCUGCCCUGCACUUCGGGAUAAGCCUGGGAAACUGGGUCUAAUACCGGAUAGGACCACUUCUUGGAUGUUGUGGUGGAAAGUUUUUUCGGUGUGGGAUGAGCUCGCGGCCUAUCAGCUUGUUGGUGGGGUAAUGGCCUACCAAGGCGUCGACGGGUAGCCGGCCUGAGAGGGUGUACGGCCACAGUGGGACUGAGAUACGGCCCAGACUCCUACGGGAGGCAGCAGUGGGGAAUAUUGCACAAUGGGCGCAAGCCUGAUGCAGCGACGCCGCGGGGGGGAUGACGGCCUUCGGGUUGGAAACUCCUUUCGCUAGGGACGAAGCGUUUUGUGACGGUACCUGGAGAAGAAGCACCGGCUAACUACGUG